AUUGAACGCUGGCGGCAGGCCUAACACAUGCAAGUCGAGCGGAUGAAGGGAGCUUGCUCCUGGAUUCAGCGGCGGACGGAUGAGUAAUGCCUAGGAAUCUGCCUGGUAGUGGGGGAUAACGUCCGGAAACGGGCGCUAAUACCGCAUACGUCCUGAGGGAGAAAGUGGGGGAUCUUCGGACCUCACGCUAUCAGAUGAGCCUAGGUCGGAUUAGCUAGUUGGUGGGGUAAAGGCCUACCAAGGCGACGAUCCGUAACUGGUCUGAGAGGAUGAUCAGUCACACUGGAACUGAGACACGGUCCAGACUCCUACGGGAGGCAGCAGUGGGGAAUAUUGGACAAUGGGCGAAAGCCUGAUCCAGCCGUGCCGCGUGUGUGAAGAAGGUCUUCGGAUUGUAAAGCACUUUAAGUUGGGAGGAAGGGCAGUAAGUUAAUACCUUGCUGUUUUGACGUUACCAACAGAAUAAGCACCGGCUAACUUCGUG
Molecule: ribosomal RNA, 484 nt
Filed under: uncultured bacterium
Lineage: Bacteria
Description: partial 16S ribosomal RNA
Rfam family: Bacterial small subunit ribosomal RNA
Source: RNAcentral